UGUGUGUGUGGGGGGAGAAAAUCAAGUGUAAAAUACUAGAUUUUUACGAUACACAUAAAAAUAUUUCAGUGAUUGAUUUUUUUUUCAGCCAAUGCAUACCUCAUAUACAAACAAGUAAACAGACUGAAUCGUCAUAAGUUAUCAAAACUUCAAUUUUGGACGAGUGUUUGCACAGAAUUGAUAGGGGAAUGCAGAAACCCAAACAAUGAAAGAGGGCGGCCAUCAAUGUCAGCAAUACCCCUACGAAUGACAGGAAAACACUAUCCAUACUUCUGGCAAGGUGUGUUGUUUUUUUUUAUUCAUUAACAACAUAAUUGUAUAAUAUAAAAGAACAUUAAAAUAAAAAGGUGAUACAUACAUUAAGUAGAUCAUAACGGCUUUAUCAAAAUCCACGACGGUAAAAUUAUUUUCAUUGCACUUCAGUUAUUUCAAAACGUUUCAUGUGUUAUGAAUACUAUUUUUGAUAUUUUUGUAGGUUCAAAAAGAAAACUAUGCAGAGUGUGCAAAAAGAAAACAAGAUCAAACUGCCCUACCUGCUGUGUUGCUCUAUGCAUUGGUGACUGUUUCCGCCGGUUUCACUCCAUCAGAUAUUUUUAAUGAACACAUGCCGCGCAUCAUACAUAUUUGUCACUUAAGCACUUUGUGGAUUGAUUACAUUGAAAUGAUGUAAAAUUGAAUAAAACUGUCAAUCAUUAAAGGUGUCUCUGAUAUUCUUAUAUCCAAAACAGUUUUCCUUUUGUAAAUCGAAUCAUUUUUCACUUUGCAAUGUUCAUUUUACUGCCGAUCAUUUUUCAUAACGUUCGCAUGUUGACAAGUACCUGUUUCAUUGCAAUGUCGACGUUAAACACAUUAACGUCAUAAGUAUCACUAUUCUAAUGACGUCAAACCCAUAAACGUUACAGUUUAAAAAUAAAAAUAACAUUGUAAUCUUUUAAGCUAUAUUUGUUAAUCAU
RNAcentral lists this long non-coding RNA (953 nucleotides) under Mytilus galloprovincialis (Mediterranean mussel). The record is from RNAcentral. Lineage: Eukaryota; Metazoa; Mollusca; Bivalvia; Mytilida; Mytilidae.